GAUUAACUUAUAUUGGGUCGUACCUGCACAAUGGCCCCCACGAAGGGCUAAAUUGCCGCGGUACCCUGACCGUGCGAAGGUAGCGAAAUAAUUUGCCUAUUAAUUGUUGGCCAGAAAUGAAUGGUGUGACGCUGGUGGCGCUGUCUCAUCAGUAUUGAUUUGAAUUUGACUUCUGGGUGAAAAGGCCCAGAUAGACCUGAAAGACGAUUAGACCCUGUCGAACUUUAAGUAGACCCGUUCGGAAAUUUUUAGAAAAAAUGGUUACGCUUUUGGUUGGGAAAACCGGAGGUAAGAAAAAACACCUCCUGCUUUUGUAACACCCGCUAUUGAUGGGGUAAUAAAGACUUUACCCUAAGGGCAAUUGGCCUGACGGAAAGUAAUUUGAUGGGAAAAAUAAGAGUCCGACAGGACAUAGAUAACUUAUAAAACGAACCUAAAGAUCUGCUAUAGCAGAAAGCUAUUAACUAGGAAUAGUUACCGCAGGGAUAACAGCGUAAUCCUCCCGGCGAGACCACAUUAAUGGGAGGGUUUGCGACCUCGAUGUUGGCUUGGGACUUCCUGGAGGCGAAGAGGCUUCUAAGGGUGGUCUGUUCGACCAUUAAAGUCCUACGUGAUCUGAGU
Molecule: ribosomal RNA, 621 nt
Filed under: Nipponacmea schrenckii
Lineage: Eukaryota; Metazoa; Mollusca; Gastropoda; Lottiidae
Description: partial 16S ribosomal RNA
Rfam family: Bacterial large subunit ribosomal RNA
Source: RNAcentral